AACGAACGCUGGCGGCAGGCUUAACACAUGCAAGUCGAACGCCCCUUCGGGGGAGUGGCAGACGGGUGAGUAACGCGUGGGAACCUACCUUUCGGUACGGAACAACAGUUGGAAACGACUGCUAAUACCGUAUACGUCCUUCGGGAGAAAGAUUUAUCGCCGAUAGAGGGGCCCGCGUUGGAUUAGCUUGUUGGUGAGGUAAUGGCUCACCAAGGCGACGAUCCAUAGCUGGUCUGAGAGGAUGAUCAGCCACACUGGGACUUAGACACGGCCCAGACUCCUACGGGAGGCAGCAGUGGGGAAUAUUGGACAAUGGGCGAAAGCCUGAUCCAGCCAUGCCGCGUGAGUGAUGACGGCCUUAGGGUUGUAAAGCUCUUUCAGUGGUGAAGAUAAUGACGGUAACCACAGAAGAAGCCCCGGCUAACUCCGUGCCAGCAGCCGCGGUAAUACGGAGGGGCAAGCGUUGUUCGGAAUUACUGGGCGUAAAGCGCGCGUA
This 496-nucleotide ribosomal RNA is filed under the name uncultured bacterium. RNAcentral's name for it is "bacterial SSU rRNA". It matches the Rfam family "Bacterial small subunit ribosomal RNA", at positions 28 to 573 of the family's 1533-position model. The record is from RNAcentral.